This 562-nucleotide ribosomal RNA is filed under the name Pichia kudriavzevii. RNAcentral's name for it is "eukaryotic LSU rRNA". It matches the Rfam family "Eukaryotic large subunit ribosomal RNA", at positions 83 to 668 of the family's 3401-position model. The record is from RNAcentral. Lineage: Eukaryota; Fungi; Ascomycota; Pichiomycetes; Pichiales; Pichiaceae.
GUAGCGGCGAGUGAGCGGCAAGAGCUCAGAUUUGAAAUCGUGCUUUGCGGCACGAGUUGUAGAUUGCAGGUUGGAGUCUGUGUGGAAGGCGGUGUCCAAGUCCCUUGGAACAGGGCGCCCAGGAGGGUGAGAGCCCCGUGGGAUGCCGGCGGAAGCAGUGAGGCCCUUCUGACGAGUCGAGUUGUUUGGGAAUGCAGCUCCAAGCGGGUGGUAAAUUCCAUCUAAGGCUAAAUACUGGCGAGAGACCGAUAGCGAACAAGUACUGUGAAGGAAAGAUGAAAAGCACUUUGAAAAGAGAGUGAAACAGCACGUGAAAUUGUUGAAAGGGAAGGGUAUUGCGCCCGACAUGGGGAUUGCGCACCGCUGCCUCUCGUGGGCGGCGCUCUGGGCUUUCCCUGGGCCAGCAUCGGUUCUUGCUGCAGGAGAAGGGGUUCUGGAACGUGGCUCUUCGGAGUGUUAUAGCCAGGGCCAGAUGCUGCGUGCGGGGACCGAGGACUGCGGACGUGUAGGUCACGGAUGCUGGCAGAACGGCGCAACACCGCCCGUCUUGAAACACGGACCA